Molecule: ribosomal RNA, 241 nt
Filed under: uncultured bacterium
Lineage: Bacteria
Description: partial 16S ribosomal RNA
Rfam family: Bacterial small subunit ribosomal RNA
Source: RNAcentral
CGUGGGUAACCUGCCUUAUAGUGGGGGAUAGCCUUUCGAAAGGAAGAUUAAUACCGCAUAAGAUUGUAGUAUCGCAUGAUAUAGCAAUUAAAGGAGCAAUUCGCUAUAAGAUGGACCCGCGUCGCAUUAGCUAGUUGGUGAGGUAAUGGCUCACCAAGGCGACGAUGCGUAGCCGACCUGAGAGGGUGAUCGGCCACAUUGGGACUGAGACACGACCCAGACUCCUACGGGAGGCAGCAUG